CAAAACUGCAUUCUUUAGUGAGUGAGUUCCUGUGGGGUCCUUCAGAGAAGCUGGAAUCAGCAGUUUCAUUGGUGGCUGAUAUGACAGCUCGGUUUUUGUCAUCUGGUUUAAAAGAAUUUAAAUGAGACACACAGCGAAAGAAGUGCAGCAUAGAGUAAUUUAUUGCAAAGGAAAAAGAAUAUUUUGGAAGUUACAUGCAGAAUGGACUGUAUACCGUGAGAGAGAGGGUUCAAGGCAGGCUGCUCAUAAGGGUGAGACAGCAGAGACUGGCAGUAGGGAGACUCCCUUUAUGGGAGUCUUACAUGAUUAUUCAUAAGGUGGUGGGAAGAGGUGUUGCUAGUAAGCAUGUUCCGGGUGGUCUUCUGGGUGCACAUGCACAGUAGCUGUACAUGCUUGUUCAUAUGUCACAUGUCUCAUUAGCAUAUUACAUCUCCAUGUAGGGCUGUCUUCUACUAUUAUAAUGAGCAAAAUGUCAGUUUGAGGACAGGUAAAAUCAAAAUGCUCAUGCUGUCUAUGGGGGAAAUUCCCUAAUGAAGACAGCUUUGCUUGAAUGAGCGCAAUGACAAUGCGAAUGCUGAGGCUCACUGUGUUGACUGUAUGGGUGCCAUGGUCGCUGCAUCCUGAGAACACGGUCACUCCCUUAAGUACCUAUCCUGCCUCAGUUUCAUUGCUACGCAGGACCUGAAAGAAUAUCUCAAAUGGAAAAGUUAACGUUUUAUAAUGUUCCAGUUGUUAUCUAUGAGCAGUGAAGGGGAACUAUGACCUUGUGACAGGGUCUAUGUGACUCUGGAGCAACAGGCAGCAAACAACUCUGAGCAAGUGGGUCAGAGAGCAGCUGACCUCAUGACCAAUGCUGUGUGUGCUGCAAGCUGGGCUGAUUUCCAUUUCGCCCCUCCCUUCUCCCCUGAUUAAUUUUAUAAAGUUGAUAGGGAAGGUUUCAGUGGGAUCUUGGCCACUCUCAUAAAGGAGGCUGUUCUGAGGGGCUGGGAAGGAGGCCUCAUGAGAGGAGGAAGGGCUCCCAGGGAAGGGCUUGGGCCAGGGUCCCUGAUGUUGGGGUGGAGUGGAGGGCAAUAUUAGCUUCAGCAUGUGCAAAGAAGGUGGCUUGGGGGUUCUGAGUGGUUGGGGUGCUACUGUGGGAGGGGGGUCACCUUCAGAGAAGGGGCAACAGGAGGUGGGAAGCCCUGGUAAAGAUUCAAUUCCCCAAGUGGCCCAGAUGCUCUAAAAAUGGCUUGCCUCAGGGACUGUCCACCACCAAAAAAAUCUCAGCACUCUCUCUUGGUAUUUAAUCAGGUAAAGCCCCAGGAUCUGAAGCCCCAGGUUCAGAUCCUGCCUUGCCAUUGGCUUGCAGGAUCUAUGACCUUGGCAAAUGGCUUUGCCCCUUGCCUCAAUUUCUUUUUCUGCAGAAUGUGACAGGAAUGUUCUCUACUUCCUUGGGGGUGUUUAAAACAUUAAAUAAUGAUUAGCUCUAAUAACUAAUACAUUGAAGCCUGAGGCCCAGGGCUCGAUGCAUGAUUGUUAAUUCCUCCCAACAAGAUGGGAUUGUUGUUAUACCCAUUGUAUUGAGGCCUGGAGCCCCUGAGAUACACACACACACACAUACACAGACACACACACACACAUCACGAGGCAUUUGGGAAGUGACUGUCAUGAGGGUGGAACCCUCAUUAAUGGGAUUGGUGCCCUUAUAAAACAGGUUGAAGAGAGCUGCCUUGCUCUUUCCACUAGGUAGGACACAAGAUGGUGCCAUCUAUGAGGAACAGGCCCUCACCAGACACCAGAUCUGUGGGUGCCUUGAUCUUGGAUUUCCUAGCUUCCAAAACUCUUCAGGGACUGGAUCUGGAUAUGGACCAGAUAUCUCUAGCCACCAUGAUGGCACUGGCUCCUUCACCAGAUGAAACAAUACUUCAAAACAAGCCAGUGGAGCAGGUCACGCCACCCGACAACUCCUAGUUCCGCUGCCUCUUCUGCACUCCAAACUCUCUCUUCAAAAGCUCCUGGAUUCCCUCCACAAAUUGAAGAGUGGAAAUAUUUGCAAAUAACUACACUCACUUCUCCCCUUGCUAGCAUGGAUAAUAAAACUCACUCUCUUUAUCACACUUCACUCUUAUUAUAUUGGCUUCUUUUUACAAGUGGCGAGCAGCUGCACCGUUCUACUGAUUACAGGAGGAUCACUUGAGGCCAGGAGUUCGAGACCAGCCUGGGCAACAUAAGACGCUGUUUCUACAAAAAAUUAAAAAUUAGCUGGGCAUGGUGGCAAAUACCUAUAGUCUCAGCUACUCAGGAGGCUGAAGUGGGAGGAUGGGUUGAGCCCCCAGGAGUUUGAGGCUGCAAUGAGCUAUGAUAGCGCCACUGCACUCCAGCCUGGCCAGAGCCUGUCUCUUAAAACAAAAACAACCCCCUGCCCCACCCAUCACUUUGUAUACUUUUUAUUUUUUGAGACAGGGUCUCACUCUGUUGUCCAGGCUGGAGUGCAGUAACACAAUCUUGGCUCACUGCAACCUCCGACUCCCAGGUUCAAGCGAUUCACCCACCUCAGCCUCCCAAGUAGCUGGGACUACAGGUGCACACCACCAUGUGGGCCUGGCAAAUUAUUUUAUUUUUUGGUAGAGAUGGAGUUUUACCAUGUUGGCCAGGCUGCUCUCGAACUUCUGACUUCAAAUGAUCCACCCACCUUGGCCUCCCGAAGUGACGGAAUUACAGGCAUGAGCUACCGUGCCUGGUCCAUGUUAUACACUUUAAAUAUGCUUUUAAAAACCAUGCCCAUUGGACGUGGGUAUUGUUUACGUAGUGGUUCCCUUUAAAAUUAUUCAUGAUGGCCAGGUGCAGUGGUGUAUGCCUGUAAUCCCAGCACUUUGGGAGAGGCCAAGGUGGGAAGAUUGCCUGAGCCCAGGUGUUUAAGACCAGCAUGGGCAACAUAGGGAGACCCCAUCUCUACUUUUUUUUUUUUUUUUUUUUUUUUGAGACGGCUUUUGCCCUUUUGCCCAGGCUGGAGUGCAGUGGCACGAUCUCGGCUCACCACAACCUCCACCUUCCGGUUUCAAGUGAUUCUCCUGCCACAGCCUCCCGAGUAGCUGGGAUUACAGGCGCCCAGCACCACGCUCGGCUAAUGUUUGUAUUUUCAGUAGAGAUGGGGUUUCACCAUGUUGACCUGGCUGGUCUCAGACUCCCGACCUCAUGAUCCCCUCGCCUUGGCCUCUCAAAGAGCUGGGAUUACAGGCAUGAGCCACCACACCCAGCGUUUUUUUUUUUUUUUUUUUUUUUUUUUUUAAUUUUUUUGAGACGGAAUUUCGUUCUUGUUGCCUAGGCUGGAGUACAAUGGCGUGAUCUCGGCUCACUGCAACCUCUGCCUCCUGGGUUAAAGCAAUUGUCCUGCCUCAGCCUCCCAAGUAGCUGGGAUUACAGGCGCAUGCCACCAUACCUGGCUGUUUUUUUUUUUUUUUUCUUUUUUUUGAGAUGGAGGCUGGCUGUCGCCUAGGCUAGAGUGCAGUGAUGUGAUUUCAGCUCACUGCAAGCUCCACAUCCCGGGUUCACGCCAUUCUCCUGCCUCAGCCUCCCGAGUAGCUGGGACUACAGGCACCCGCCAUCACGCCCUGCUAAUUUUUUGUAUUUUUAGUAGAGAUGGGGUUUCACUGUGUUAGCCAGGAUGGUCUUGAUCUCCCGACCUCGUGACUGCCCACCAUAACCUCCCAAAGUGCUGGGAUUACAGGCAUGAGCCACCGCGCCUGGCCAAUUUUUGUAUUUAGUAGAGACAGGGUUUCAUCACAUUGGUCAGGCUGGUCUCGAACUCCUGACCUCAGGUGAUCUGCCCACCUUGGCCUCCCAAAGUGCUGGGAUUACAGAGGCAUAAGCCACCGCACCCGGCCUCUAUUUUAAAAUCAAUCAAUCAAUCAUUAUGGAGCAUGUUAGUUUAAUGAACUUUUCGGUCUGUUUCACCACGUUCACAGCUUGCAUGGGUUGAAAAUAAAAAGAAAAAUGCCUGUCAAAUAACUAAUAAAGACUAACUAGGCUGGGCCCGGUUGCUCAUGCCUAUAAUCCAAUCAGUGUGGUACGCCAAGAUGGACAGACUGCUUGAGCCCAGGAGUUUGAGACCAGCCUGGGCAACAUGGUGAAACCUUGUCUCUGCAAAAAUACAAAAAUUAGCUGGGCAUGGUGGCAUGUGUCUGCAGUCCCAGCUACCCAGGGGGCUGAGGUGGGAGGAUCACUUGAGUCUUGGAGAUCAAGACUGUAGUGAGCCGAGAUCAUGUUACUGCCACUGCACUCUAGCCUGGGUGAGAGAUCCUGUCUCAAAAAAAAAAAAAAAAGAUGAAAUGUCAAGAGGCUGAUAGGUGAUCUGAACCCCUGUGAUGCUUUUUAAAAUUUUUCAUGUUAUUAAAACAUUUUUUUGCCAGGGGCGGUGGCUCACGCCUAUAAUCCUGGCACUUUGGGAGGCCAAGCUGGGUGGAUCACCUGAGGUCAGGAGUUCGAGACCAGUCUGACCAACAUGGCAAAACUCCAUCUCUACUAAAAAUACAAAAUUUAGC
This 4520-nucleotide long non-coding RNA is filed under the name Homo sapiens (human). RNAcentral describes it as "HSALNT0213034". The record is from RNAcentral. Lineage: Eukaryota; Metazoa; Chordata; Mammalia; Primates; Hominidae.